GCUAAUACCGCAUAAGACCACAGUACCGCAUGGUACAGUGAUCAAAGGAUUUAUUUCGCUGAAGGAUGGCUUCGCGUCCGAUUAGGUAGUUGGUGAGGUAACGGCCCACCAAGCCUACGAUCGGUAGCCGGACUGAGAGGUUGAUCGGCCACAUUGGGACUGAGACACGGCCCAGACUCCUACGGGAGGCAGCAUG
Molecule: ribosomal RNA, 196 nt
Filed under: uncultured bacterium
Lineage: Bacteria
Description: partial 16S ribosomal RNA
Rfam family: Bacterial small subunit ribosomal RNA
Source: RNAcentral